UCUUCUCUCUUCUGCCUCCUAGCGAAAAAGGUGCCUGCUUCUCCUGCCAUGAUUAUAAGUUUCCUGAGGCUUCCCCAGCCAUGCCUAACUGAGUGAGGACCUAGAAUUUUAAUGUCUAAUAUGUGGUGUGAAUUAAAGAAGUGGCUUUGCUAUGCUGACCUUUUCAAUAUUCUAAUCUUUGCUUUGCUGACCUCUCAGACCUCUUCCUGGCAACAGUUAGGCUUUUGAGAGGAGGGAGAGCUGAGCCUGUUGGCUCCUUCCCAUUUAUGAGAGAGCCACCUGACAUCAGUCCAUAGGCUGUGAAGAGUAUUCCAGAUCUAUCACAUUUCUGCGAUUCCCAGAUGGCUGGUCAUGAAAAAAAUUCCCUCUUCAGUUUAUGUAUAUGGCAGUGAUGCACAACAUUGUUCUUUUGGUUGUGAAAAAUUCAAAGAAGUAGAUGUGGUCCUGGUUGAUGGAUGAACAUUGAGGCCCUCAAGUGCAUAAAGGAACUUCUAGAUAUCUGUUGAGGCCUGGAAGGGGCAAAACAAUUCAGGAAGCAGUUGAGGAUAAAGGGGUUUACAGUGGAAGAGAAGAUCCAGGUGCCUUCAUGGAAAUGCUUGUGGUUGAAAAGAGAUGAAGAUGAGUGUCCCUGGAAAGAGGAAGAAACAGCCAGGAAAAUUAUACCAUUAGCAAGACUGGCAUCAGCAAGUAGUUCACAGUGUUGGUUGUUCUUGGUUUCGCAGGAUUUUAUAGGAGAGUUUCUGUCAGGCCUCUGAGCCCAAGCUAAGCCAUCAUAUCCCCUGUGACCUACACGUAUACAUCCAGAUGGCCUGAAGCAAUUGAAGAUCCACAAAAUAAGUGAAAAUAGCCUUAGCUGAUGACAUUCCACCAUUGUGAUUUGUUUCUGCCCCACCCUAACUGAUACAUAUAUUCUUCCCUGCUCUUAAGAAGGUACUUUGGAAUAUUCUCCCCACCUCUUAAGAAUGUGCUUUGUAUGCAUAUUCCAAACUGUAAGAACUAAUGAUAAACCCACCACCCUUUGCUGACUCUUUUUUUGGACUCAGCCCACCUGCACUCAGGUGAAAUAAACAGCCUUGUUACUCAC
This 1084-nucleotide long non-coding RNA is filed under the name Pongo abelii (Sumatran orangutan). RNAcentral's name for it is "lincRNA". Lineage: Eukaryota; Metazoa; Chordata; Mammalia; Primates; Hominidae. The record is from RNAcentral.